GACGAACGCUGGCGGCGUGCUUAACACAUGCAAGUCGAACGGUGAAGCUCCAGCUUUCUGGAGUGGAUCAGUGGCGAACGGGUGAGUAACACGUGAGCAACCUGCCCCUGUCUCUGGGAUAAGCGCUGGAAACGGCGUCUAAUACUGGAUACGAGAAGGGCCCGCAUGGGCACUUUCUGGAAAGUUUUUCGGUUGGGGAUGGGCUCGCGGCCUAUCAGCUUGUUUGUGAAGUAUUGGCUCACGAAGGGGACGACGGGUAGGCGGCCUGAGAGGGCGACCAGGCACACGGGGACUGAGACACGGCCCAGUCUCCUACGGGAGGCAGCAGUGGGGAAUAUUGCACAAUGGGCGAAAGCCUGAUGCAGCGACGCCGCGUGAGGGAUGACGGCCUUCGGGUUGUAAACCUCUUUCAGCAGGGAAGAAGCGAAAGUGACGGUACCUGCAGAAGAAGCACCGGCUAACUACGUG
RNAcentral lists this ribosomal RNA (468 nucleotides) under uncultured bacterium. RNAcentral describes it as "partial 16S ribosomal RNA". It matches the Rfam family "Bacterial small subunit ribosomal RNA", at positions 28 to 507 of the family's 1533-position model. The record is from RNAcentral.